Molecule: long non-coding RNA, 345 nt
Organism: Peromyscus eremicus (cactus mouse)
Lineage: Eukaryota; Metazoa; Chordata; Mammalia; Rodentia; Cricetidae
Exons: 2
Source: RefSeq, a predicted model, not a curated record
GUCAACACAGAGUGGCAACAGAGAGGGCUGCUGGGGGCUGCUGGAGCCUUGAGCUGAACACAUCCCAGGGUUGGGGAAAACAGCCAGAAAAAUCUGUGGGUGUUAAAGCCCCAACCCGUGAAGAUCCCACAACCUCCCAGAACAGCGCCACCAUCUGGGAGCAAGUGUUCAAACACCUGAGCUGCGGAGACACUUAGAAUUCAAAUCACGGCAGUUGGGAGGCAAAUGACGGUACCAGAUGGGAACAAUGGACAUAGACGUCUAGUGAUCAACAGCUCUGGAAGUGAGAGGUGUGUGGGUAAAUAACAAUGACAUUCUCAUGAUUUAAACCGCUUUUAAAGAUAA